AUACGUAGGGUGCGAGCGUUAAUCGGAAUUACUGGGCGUAAAGCGUGCGCAGGCGGUUGUGUAAGUCUUUUAGAUGUGAAAUCCCCGGGCUCAACCUGGGAACUGCAUUUGAGACUGCACGGCUAGAGUGUGACAGAGGGGGGUAGAAUUCCACGUGUAGCAGUGAAAUGCGUAGAGAUGUGGAGGAAUACCGAUGGCGAAGGCAGCCCCCUGGGUUACUACUGACGCUCAUGCACGAAAGCGUGGGGAGC
This 251-nucleotide ribosomal RNA is filed under the name uncultured bacterium. Its description in RNAcentral is "partial 16S ribosomal RNA". It matches the Rfam family "Bacterial small subunit ribosomal RNA", at positions 523 to 769 of the family's 1533-position model. The record is from RNAcentral.